UACGAAGGGGGCUAGCGUUGCUCGGAAUCACUGGGCGUAAAGCGCACGUAGGCGGGUCGUUAAGUCGGGGGUGAAAUCCUGGAGCUCAACUCCAGAACUGCCUUCGAUACUGGCGAUCUUGAGUCUGGGAGAGGUGAGUGGAACUCCGAGUGUAGAGGUGAAAUUCGUAGAUAUUCGGAAGAACACCAGUGGCGAAGGCGGCUCACUGGCCCGGUACUGACGCUGAGGUGACGAAAGCGGUGGGGAGCAAACAGG
Molecule: ribosomal RNA, 255 nt
Filed under: uncultured bacterium
Lineage: Bacteria
Description: partial 16S ribosomal RNA
Rfam family: Bacterial small subunit ribosomal RNA
Source: RNAcentral